Molecule: ribosomal RNA, 1496 nt
Filed under: metagenome
Description: bacterial SSU rRNA
Rfam family: Bacterial small subunit ribosomal RNA
Source: RNAcentral
AGAGUUUGAUCCUGGCUCAGAACGAACGCUGGCGGCGUGCUUAACACAUGCAAGUCGAGCGCGAAAGUUCUCCUUCGGGAGAGCGAGUAGAGCGGCAGACGGGUGAGUAACACGUGGGCAACCUAUCCGAAGGCGGGGAAUAACCACUCGAAAGGGUGGCUAAUACCGCAUACGGCUAUGGAUUUUCGGAUCCAUAGUCAAAGGCUUCGGCCACCUUCGGAGGGGCCCGCGGUCGAUUAGCUAGUUGGUGGGGUAAUGGCCUACCAAGGCGACGAUCGAUAGCUGGUCUGAGAGGAUGAUCAGCCACACUGGUACUUAGACACGGACCAGACUCCUACGGGAGGCAGCAGUGGGGAAUAUUGCGCAAUGGACGAAAGUCUGACGCAGCAACGCCGCGUGGGUGAAGAAGGCUUUGGGGUCGUAAAACCCUGUCAGAUGGGAAGAACCAUGCCCUUCGGGGCAUCUGACGGUACCAUCAAAGGAAGCACCGGCUAACUCCGUGCCAGCAGCCGCGGUAAUACGGAGGGUGCAAGCGUUGUUCGGAAUCACUGGGCGUAAAGGGCGCGUAGGCGGAUUGUCAAGUCUGAUGUGAAAGCCCGGGGCUCAACCCCGGAAGUGCAUUGGGAACUGGCAAUCUUGAGUUCGGGAGAGGAAGGCAGAAUUCCUGGUGUAGGGGUGAAAUCCGUAGAUAUCAGGAGGAAAAUCAGUGGCGAAGGCGGCCUUCUGGAACGUAACUGACGCUGAGGCGCGAAAGCGUGGGGAGCAAACAGGAUUAGAGACCCUGGUAGUCCACGCCGUAAACGAUGGAUGCUAGGUGUAGGGCUCAUUGACGAGCUCUGUGCCGCAGCUAACGCGAUAAGCAUCCCGCCUGGGGAGUACGGUCGCAAGACUAAAACUCAAAGGAAUUGACGGGGGCCUGCACAAGCGGUGGAGUAUGUGGUUUAAUUCGACACAACGCGCAGAACCUUACCUGGGUUUGACAUCCUGUGAUUGCCAUAGAGAUAUGGAGUCCUCUUCGGAGGCACAGUGACAGGUGCUGCAUGGCUGUCGUCAGCUCGUGUCGUGAGAUGUUGGGUUAAGUCCCGCAACGAGCGCAACCCCUGUCCCAUGUUGCCAUCACAUAAUGGUGGGCACUCUUGGGAUACUGCUGGUGUCAAACCGGAGGAAGGUGGGGAUGACGUCAAGUCCUCAUGGCCCUUAUGCCCAGGGCUACACACGUACUACAAUGGCCGGUACAAAGAGACGCUAACCCGCGAGGGGGCGCAAAUCUCAAAAAGCCGGUCUCAGUUCGGAUUGGAGUCUGCAACUCGACUCCAUGAAGGCGGAAUCGCUAGUAAUCGCGGAUCAGCAUGCCGCGGUGAAUCCGUUCCCGGGCCUUGUACACACCGCCCGUCACACCAUGAGAGUCGCUUGUACCAGAAGUGCGUAGGCCAACCCGCAAGGGAGGCAGCGUACCAAGGUAUGGGUGGUAAUUAGGGUGAAGUCGUAACAAGGUA